Molecule: transfer RNA, 90 nt
Filed under: Sinisalibacter lacisalsi
Lineage: Bacteria; Pseudomonadati; Pseudomonadota; Alphaproteobacteria; Rhodobacterales; Roseobacteraceae
Also listed under: 2 other names
Description: tRNA-Ser
Rfam family: tRNA
About the family: Transfer RNA (tRNA) molecules are approximately 80 nucleotides in length. Their secondary structure includes four short double-helical elements and three loops (D, anti-codon, and T loops).
Source: RNAcentral
GGAGGAGUGGCAGAGUGGUCGAAUGCGGCGGUCUUGAAAACCGUUGAGCGCGAGAGCGUUCCGGGGGUUCGAAUCCCUCCUCCUCCGCCA